RNAcentral lists this ribosomal RNA (274 nucleotides) under uncultured bacterium. RNAcentral describes it as "partial 16S ribosomal RNA". It matches the Rfam family "Bacterial small subunit ribosomal RNA", at positions 523 to 796 of the family's 1533-position model. The record is from RNAcentral.
AUACGGAGGGUGCAAGCGUUAAUCGGAAUUACUGGGCGUAAAGCGCGCGUAGGCGGUUUGGUCAGUCAGAUGAGAAAGCCCCGGGCUCAACCUGGGAACUGCAUUUGAUACUGCUGAACUAGAGUAUGGUAGAGGGAAGUGGAAUUCCGGGUGUAGCGGUGAAAUGCGUAGAUAUCCGGAGGAACACCAGUGGCGAAGGCGACUUCCUGGACCAAUACUGACGCUGAGGUGCGAAAGCGUGGGUAGCAAACAGGAUUAGAAACCCUAGUAGUCC